This 14823-nucleotide long non-coding RNA is filed under the name Actinidia chinensis (golden kiwifruit). RNAcentral's name for it is "long non-coding RNA (ACHI_LNC008666)". Lineage: Eukaryota; Viridiplantae; Streptophyta; Magnoliopsida; Ericales; Actinidiaceae. The record is from RNAcentral.
AUUAUUUUUUUUUAUCUUUGAUAUUUUUAAUCUUUUAAUUUAAAAUAAAAUAUAUUUUUAAAAAAUAUUAUUUAAAGGCUCGUGGGCUGGGCUUGGGUCUCAUCUAUAGGAGUCGCGUAAUCUGCAGUAGCCUUAGCUUUAACCCGGCCCUGCCCAUUGACCAGUCAAAGCCCAUCAGGACCGACCCAAGCCCGGCCCAUUGACAACCCUUAAGACCACACUGAUAACACCACAAUUAAUAAUUAAAAGGACAAAGUAAGAAAAAUGACAAAUAAUUUAGAGGAUAAAAUUAAAAUUGCCUCAACAUUAUUAUUUUGAUAUGUCAAUCAAGCACAUAACAUCACAUAAUAAGCAUCACCAUAAAUAAAAGAUACGAGCACACACGGGAACAACAAUUCUUACGAGAAAAAUUUAUCCACGGCAUAACUUCACCUUCAAAGUUAGACGCACUCUUGUUUGUGGAAGUCUUAUUCAGUUAUCAUUUCUUUUUGUUUAGUUUUCCCGUGUAUUCUAUUCCUUUUAAGUUGUUCUGUUACUACUUAUUUUUGUACUUAUAGCCAUAUUAUUUUAUAUGAUGUUCUUUUUUGCCAAAAAGAGGUCACUGUUAAGUCACCAAUUAUCCUAAAAGCUUAAGUUAGUAGGAAAUGGGUUUAACAACAUAUAUCAAGCAUCCAACACCCUUACUCGUGUGCAACCCUCAUGUGCACCCCCAUCUUGCAUGUAGAAAUGUAAACAUUCAGACAUCGAGCGAAACUGAACUCAAAGGGAAGAAACAAAAUGCAAAUGACAAAAAAAGUCAAAACGUAAGGACUUAAACCCAAGGCCUCUCAAAAACCAAAACUCUAACAUCAUGCAUCAUUAAUUAUCUCAGAACUUAAGCUAUUAGGAGAAAGACCCAAUAACAUAUAUCAAGCUAUACAACAAUCAUACUAACUCCAUUUGCAAGAGCUCUACUAUCAACCUUAUCUUGUCUAUUAUCAUCGCUACCACGUGGCUCCAAUCAAAACUAUCUAGCUUGUUGGUAAGGUCAACCCAAUGCACUAGGGUUUUGUAUGUGCAAAUUAGUUUCCUUUUGUUGAGGUAUUUACAUGAUCAUGUCCUUUUUGAGAUAUGUUUGUUUUAUUUCUUCCGUGUUUUUGGAAUGGAUACAUCUUUUUGUAUAAUUUUUGCUUUCAAUAAGAUUUCAUCGUUGUUGUCAAAAAGGAUACACAGGGUAAAUAAGUAAAGUAUCUAUUAGCAGCCAUUUAAAAAAAAUUACACCAACAGCCCUUGUAAUUUGCUGAAAAUAAAACAUACAUCCCAUGGUAUCAGAAAUUGCACUAUAUGCAACACUUUGAACAUGCAGUUAGGAGAUAUAACAAUAUUUGGUGGUGUCAGGUAAACAAAUUUUGUAAUAUCUUAAAAUGUUUAUGGUUUUCGCAUUAAAAGAUGAUUCAGCAAAGUAAGGGAAAGAUUGAUGCAACACUUCAUUUGUGCCACUCACACACUGUCAAAUAAAGUCUACUAGCAGAGAUCAGAGUGUAAGAGAUUUACUAACGAAAUGUGGAAAUGUUAUAUAUAUACAUAUAUAUAUGUAUGUAUACAUGUAUAUACGUGUAUAUAUAUAUAUAUGCACACACUUAUAUAUUUGUAUAUAUAUUAUCGACAAAUCACAGGGUGAUCAGUGGAUACUCGCAUCCAAUGGCAUCAUUCUCCAACCAACAGUGUACCUGUUCCAAAAAAAGAAAAAAGAAAAACAAGUACAUGCACCACAGGACUGGAUUAUAAAAGUAGGUGCAAGGAGCUCAUGUACCAGAAAAAGAAAAAAUGCAAGGUGAUCCCCCUACAUGCUGAAAGUCGUUCCUUCUCGUUCUUUUUUUUGGGGAGGGUUACAAAAAAGUUCAAAACAGUUGUUCACUUUUCAAGUCUAAUAUCCUCAGCUACACAGAAAUAGUAUUCUCAGGAUGUAUAACUAAAUAGAUAUUCUGGGGACCAAAAAUCAUUGCCUUCGUCAAGACUUAGUUGCAUGACGCGGGGCGGGGGGGCGGGAAGCGAGAUUAUAGAAGCUCAUAGUUUGGGUAGCGCCGCGAGAGCAUGUAUGAAAAAUUUAUAAAAUAUCAUAUCUACUAUCAAGAGGAAAAAAAUCAACUUUAUGUCCCACUUGCCGCAAACAAAACCUAAUCAAUGGGUGGGAAGACCAUUUAUUUUUUGUUUUAAUCAUUUUUUGAUGAUUGGGGGGUCCAAAUGUAUAAUUAAGAAACUUUGUAAGUUAAAAUGAAAAACACUUAUAAAGGUGAAGGAGUUGAAGCGUAAUUAAGGGUUUAAAAAAACCCAAAUCAAGCGACGUCACUUCACUUUUCUCUCUCGACUCUCUCUCUCUCGCAACGACGCAAGUCACAACAACACCAGCCACCAUUGCCGCGACGCCAGCCACCACCAACCACAACAAAUCCCUCUUUCUGCGUUCACGGACCAUCGGAGACCCGGAGGCCAGACCCAGAUCUGAAGCUUGAAGACCCAAGCGAUCAAAAUCCCAGAUCUGAAGCAUGAGAGUACGGACCGUCGCAACAGGUACGCUUCCAUCACUGUUGGGAACGAAUCUCUAACCAGAUGGGCACGUUUCCGUCGCGCUUCUGAGGAAGAAGUGCCAAUUCGCGGUUCGUGGGGGGAUCCGCCACCCCCAUGCGCGAUUCCUGCAACUAAGGUCAAGAUAUAGGAUUAUACUUACGAACUUCUCCAAAAUACCCAUUCUUGAGACAUGGUCAAAUACUUCUACAACUAUAUGUGUUUAUGUUCAAAUAUGAAAUAUUAACCUCAUGUCGAAGCAAGAGCAAAAGUAGGGCCCUAAUUAUCCAUAAAUUUUCGAAGGCUAUCAUCUCACAAUUAAGGUGGUAGAGAACCAACCAAACGAAAACUUUUAUUAAAAUUAAAAGGAUUACGAAAUAUAGCAAAGUGGGAAAAGUGCUUCAUUACUAAAAGAGCAUAUCACUUAAUUAACCAAUCAUAAGCUACCCAAACCCAACAAAGAAAGUUGGCAAGCUACCAACCAGUAACCCCCACCCCACCAAAAAAAAAUUGUGCAUCUCGCCUAACAAUACAUAUGUAUGAGUUACACAUCAAGGCUUCAAAUACAAUCAAAAGAAAUAAUAAACAGACCAAAGAACACCACCAGACUGACCCCAUCUUCUUGAUAAAUGGCAUCAUAACUAAACUUUAAAUGGCGCAAAUGCUUCAUGUCAGGUCAAAAUUCAUAAUGACAAUGAAUCCCAUUGAACAACCUUCUAAAAAAUUCUACAGACAUCCAUGUCCCCUAGCAGUUGAUUUUACUAUCUUCUACAUCAAAUGUCAAUGACACCAAAGCAUUGGCUGCAUACAUACUUCUAUUUUACAUGACUUCUAAAUUUGUUUUUUGUCAGAAACCGGCAUGUUUAGUUCGAUUAAGGAAAGUAGUCAAGAUAGUAUGGCAAUUCACAAGACUCUAAUUUUAUGCAUAGAAUGCCCUACGUUAGUUUGUCAAUAUUAUUUUAACCAAAAAAUAAAAUAUCAAAUAAUAUUCAAGAAAUAAGAUAUCUAACCGAGCCUUGUGCUCUUGGACAUGAGAAAUUGAAGAAUCCGGCACUAAGAAACACCCGCACCCAAUACGGUACCCAAGUCUAUGUAACGUCAACACCACUUUCAUAGUUUGAUAUCUUUAAUAUGGCUGAUAAGAUUUUACUGAGAAGAGGAUAUUUGUCUUGUCCAGGUACACACAUCUUUCAUUGCUAGGGUGGAUUCAAGCUCCUUUCCCACAUAACAGCUCUCACCUAUUGCCAUCAAACCAAAGUUUGUUUAUUGUGCAAGAAUAGUGCGACAAUGAAAAGGGAAAAAAAUAACACUAUAAGGUAUAAUACAUGCGAUAGAAUUGCUGAUAACAUAAGAAUAACAGAGCCAUAAUAAAUAACUAUAGUAAAUUAAAGCUGGGGGCAUUUGCUUAUAAACACAAUACACAAGAAAUGUAGCUCAUAACAAAUGAAGCACCUCCCAUAGAACAUCUCUUUCAUCAUACAAUCAACAAAGCAAUGGUUGACUGAAGGAACGUUUCUGUUUAUGACAGUCGAAGUUAGUUCAUUAGCUUUUGAUUUAUAACUAGUCACAAACCAAGCUUAUCAAAACUUACUUUAAAACCUUGGCAUCCCUCUAUUCAACAUUUGUUACCUCUAAUAAUUAGUAAAAACAAAAUAUAAGUAUUUUAGUAAUAACAAAAUAAUGGAAACAGGGAGGGGGAGGGGGGGACGAGGGGAUGAGGGAAAGAAGAAAGCAUCCAAAAAAGUUUACGAUGUAUGUAUCCAGAAGUUAAAAACAGGCAAUCACUUUAAGGGUUAAAUCACCCCUUCUAAUGCUGAUCAUAUUUCCUCUCCCCUCAGGCAAAUAAGCUAGAUUAUGACCAACAACUAUUAGGAUUACCAUGGUCAAACAAAGGUAGCCCACCAACUUUUCUUUGGUCUCAUCUCGGUAUCUCAGAGAUUACACCAAGCAUCCAAGGCUCGAGUAUAAACACCUACAGCAAAGGUACAGUAACAGAAGGUAAAGCGUAUAAGCCCAGUCACCAUUAAUAAAUAGAAGGUUUCCAAUAUCAAAAGUGUCUGCACUCAAAAUCUCCGCAAAAAGAGGCAAAAAAAUACUUCGAAAUUAGAGAACUCACAUCGAAUGACUUAUAAAUUCCAGAAAAGUCACCAUAAGUCUAACAAGGUCAGAAGGUCGAGAUGCAUUAGAUCAUUAGUAGCAGCAAUUAGCGCCCUUACAGUUGCUAACAUCAUGUUGAUAUCAGCAUACAGCUGUUGACACAGCACCUCAACGAUAUCUUGCAUCCGAAUUCUUUGAUGCAUUCUCUAUACGCAAGUAACCUUGCAAAGAAGAGCGAGCUUAGAGAAGAAAAAUCAGAUGCGAAGUAGAGUCCAACAUCAUCAGUCCUCACGUCACUGUGCUUAUAGGAGGUCAGAUUUAAAUACCAUCAGCUCAACCCAUAUAACAAACCCACUAACUAAUUAAAAAAUAAAUAAAAUGCAACCAGCAAACCUAAUAAAAAGCAGCCUUUGUGUUCUCUCAUUGAAUCUACAACCUACUAUCUGUAAGAUCAUAGCACAAUACAGAAUUAGACACGCAUCCACCCUAUCUCUAUUUCACUGGAGAUAAGAUAUAGAUAUUAAGAAUUCAAUUUACGUUCUUGAUCACUAUGAGAGCCCGCCCUGGCUUCCUACUGAACCUUUGCGCAAAAGCUCAUGGAUAAGUUCUUGAUUAGUAGUAAAAGAAUAAACAAUCCACAAAAACCUGAUAAAGUGUAGAUGAAGAGCUCAACAAGCAACAAGGGUAUGUAUAAUAGUAAACAUUGUAUCCCACAUAUUCUUAGUGUCUUCCUAUCUUAACAACUAACCAACCAGACAUGCAUCCUACAUAACUAAAAAAGGGGAAGGAAUGACUCCAACAAGCCCCCAUACAAAUAAGUGAGAGAACAAUGAGAGAGAUUCCACACCAAUUUUCAGCACCUACAUCUAAGACUCUCUUCUAACUUUGGGUGAUCAUGUAAUGUAACUUAAUAGAACCACAAAAAAAGAAACUUGACAAGCACCAUGAUCGCCCAAUAGGGUACAUAAAGAAGUUAUUUAGAUCCAAUUUAGCUUCAUCUGUAAAGAAAAAUCACGUUCAUUCAACUUUGAUUCAAGGACCACGAAUGGAGCAGAUAGAUUCAAACAUCAUCAUGGUAUAAUUAAAAUUCACAUUAAGUUACCCUUUCAUUCAGCCGGAUAGAUGCAAUAUCGCGUUGGUAAGCACAUAACUCCUACAACAAAAGUGAAAAUGUGAAAAAAAAAAAAUGAGCUGCAUUUAAAAAACUAAACAUUAAUCUUUUGGGAGAAAAAAUAAUACAGGAAUAGAACAUUUGUUAUUCUGGAGAGAGAGAGAGAGAAGAGGAAAGAGUAGCAACCUAUAUAUUGAUGAGAGAUUAUGGGGGGGGGAUGUUUUGGUAACGUUUGUUUUUCUGUUUUUUGUGUGUUUGUUUUACUUUUUGUUUUGGUUUUGUUCAAUUUUUUUGUAAAACAAAACUAAAGCAGGUUUGUGUGUUUACUUUUUUUAAAAUUAUUUAAAAACAAAAAUAUGUUUUGUUUCAUUCACCUUUACUUUUAAACUAUUUUAAAAAAAGGUGUGUGGUGGAGGCGGUAGGGGAGGAGGAGGGUGAGAGGUGGGUGGAGGUGGAGGUGGAGGUGGUGGAGGAUGUGUGAUGGAGGGUGGGCGGAAGAGGAGGUGGCGGUGGUGGUGGAGUGUGAAAUGUGUGGAGGAAGGUAGUGAUGGGAGGAGGAGGAGGUCAGUGGCGGCGGUGUGUGAUGGUGGAGGAGGUGGUGGUGGAGGUGUGCGGCGGUGGCGAGGAGGAGGAGGUGGAGGUGUGGUGUUUGAAGGGAACCGCCAGGCUGUACGGUGUGUAGCGGUGAGUUGAUGUUUUGUUGGUGGAUUGACGGCAAAAAAGAAGGCUGUGAGGAUAUUUUGUGGUUUGGCUUUUCUUGUGUGUCUUCGUCUUUUUUUUCGGCGAUGUUUAGUCUGCUUCGUUUGGCUGUUUUGAUUUCUGUUUGUUUCGGUAGGAGGAUAGGAGAUAGAGGUUGAAAAAACUUGAUAAAAAAUUGUAAUAAAAUUUUGUCACAAAACAAAAUACAACUUUUUUCUUAUUUUUCACUAUUUUCAAAAAUAGUGAAAACUGUUUAGGACCUUGGUUUUCAUUUUAUUUUUUGGCAAGACAACCAAGUUUUCUUCUGUUGCCAUAAUAAGUUAAACAAACAAAAAACAGAAAAAAACAAAAAUUAAAAACAGUUACCAACAUCAACCAAUGAGUUCUCCUAUAUGCUAGUUAAUUUACACAUCUUAAUAUAUUCUAGAACUUACAUACAACUUACAAUAGAAAGUAGCAAUAUACCAUCUCCAAUUUUAUCCUACCAGGUAUGCACAUCCAGCAAAGAAAGGGAAUAGGUCAGUGGGCCCAGGACCCACAUGUCAAUAAAAAUUCUUAGCUUCAAAAAAUAGCAGGAUUUCUGCAGAUUUCCAAGUCCAUAUUUUAUAAAGCAUAUAUGUAUAUGUAAUGUAAAUACGAUUCAUAUUCCCAUAAAAAACAAAUUGUACCACAAGAAAGCAUAAAUGUUACAAUAAGCAUAAAAAAUGACUAUUUAAUAUUAAGCGUCAACUAAGCAUACAGUUUGAAUGCAGUACUGCAAAAGGAAAAUCAGAAAAGUAAAAAAAAAGUAACAAGAAACAUGUGUUGAAGAAAAGGAAAUACUGAAAAGAGUAGCUACUCAACAAAUCUAUUCACUAUUUAUGUGAUAUCUCAAUAUUAGAUCUCAGAAACUUACUUCUAGAGCUUUUUCAGCAUUCAUUUCUGUAAUUACUCCUGCUGCAUUAGCAGCCAAUAUCAUUAGGAUAACCUGUAACGUACCAUGGGUUACUGUAAGAAUAAAACAUUGCCAUGAUAGAGGAGGAUAUAGGCAAAGACCAUAGUAAAAUUAGCUGCUAGGUUCAGCCGUCUUUCCAUGAAUAACCUUGUUGCACUAGAGACAACAAAGAGGAAGCUUCGACUUAAAUCUCGAUACUUGUAUGGGUUGGUACAAGAUGGGCCAGCACAUGUCCCCUCUCGGAGGAGAACUGAAAAUAUAGAUAAAAUCGUCAAAAACCACUAGCAGAACUAGCAUCCCAGCAUUUUGUGUCCAUUGGUUUGGUGUGUCAAUAAUUUCAUGAAAACAAACACUAGACAGUACCAACAAACAAACCCAUAAUUGAAAAAAUAAAGGGUAAAAACAGAAGAAAGAAAAAAGAAAAGAGGAAACCUUCCCUUCUAGCUUUGGGGUCAAAAAUAAUAGAAGCAACCCAUUUCCUUUGAGAAUGUUAACCAACUGGUCCCCAACAGGGUCCAUGACCCAUCUACUGGUGUGUUUGAUGGAGCCCAGUGCAUUUCGCAUGGGCCUUCUCGUGCAUGAUACAAUAAUGAUAACACAAUUAAAGACUAACUUCAUAGUUCACAACGAACAUCGCAAGAAGAGAAAUAACUGCAAUUCAGAAUACCUAUUCUAAUUCCUCUCGCUUUUUCCGAUUGGAAUCUUGAGUAUUUUCCUAUAAGCCUCAACCUGGACAAAUCCUCAAAAAUGUUCAUUUCCCUUUCAGAGGAUUUGAAAUAUGUACAAGACACAGAAAAAAUACAGCACACAUAAAACGUAAACCUCUGAUUCCCGGGCUGCCUUCUUAACUUGCAUUCUAUGCCUUUGAGCAGUCUCAGCUUUCUUCAGUUGUUCCACUUCCGACAGCUUUUCCUUUUGCUCUGGUGGGCAACCAGCAACAAAUUUGAUGUAUUUAACAAACAAAGAUACUCUUACAAAACAACUACAAAUGUAAGAAAUAAAAUAGAAAAUAACAAAUACAAUAGAUACUAACUUCGAGAAGAGGCAGGCGGUAAUCCAUUGGGGAACUCAACCACAUUGGGGAACUCAACCACAUUGGCACUAGUUGCAGAGGCAUCUUUGCUAAACAAAAGAGCCCGCUGUCGAGUUGUGAGAGACGAAUCCCUCUUACUUUCAAUUGAUGAAUCAACAGAUUCCUUCAUUAGCUUCUUCUUUUUCUUGCCUUCAGGCUAACCAGCAGACACCAGUUCUUCUUCCUCCUCAUAAUUUGCAUCCUCAGAUCCUCUUUCUGAUAUGGAUUUCUUCUUACUGUCUUGGGUUGACCUUGGAGAAACAAAAUCUUCCAAAAUCUCAUCAGGUUUAGAAUUCUUACUAUCACUAUAAAUUCGUUUUUGUUUCUUGCUUGAUUCUUCCUCCAAAUCUUUAGCUCCUGCAGCAGUUUUAGAAAUUUUCAGUUUCUCGGUAUCUGAUCUCAUCUUCAUCAAAUGCCACAUCCAGUAAAGGCCCUCUUCGGCACCCUCUUGCUUUUACGAACUGGCUCAGAAUUCGGACCUUGGUUUCCAGAUGCAUUCUUUCCAGGCCCCUUCUCCAUUGAAGAAUCCUCCUUCCCACAACUAGAACUGCUAGAAAAAAUUCUUCCAAGGAACUCCUCCGAAAAGAUAUCUAGAGGAAAAUGAUCAUCAUUGAAUUUUCCUGAAAUUAUGUAAAGAUUCCAAAAGUGAAAAAAGGGAGUCAAGAUGCCAAAAAAAGUAUCUAGCGUGCCACUACUUUUGCUAUGUCAUACACAAAAAUAUAAAAGUGGCAAUGCUAUUGCUAUGUCAUACACAAAAAUAUAAAAGUUGCAAUUCAGAUAUAGACACCGAAACAGGGCUCUUAUUUAUAUUUGAUAACUGUGGUAUAAGUGUAGAUGUAUGCGUGAUUUCUGAAUGUUAUUUAACAUAACCAAUUGAUAAACUUGUAGCCCCAUAUAUAAACAACAAAACCAAUUGAUCAGUUUCAGGUAUAAUCUGUGUUAGCUGGACGCGGGUGCGGGUGUCGUGUGCGGGACGGAAUCUAGGUGUCGGGACAAUGUGAAGGUCAAAAAAUAGAGGAUACGCGGAUAUGGACUGAAAUUUGACCACGGGUGCGGGUAGGAUUACGGUAUUUAUUUUUUAAACUUUUAAUAUAAAAAAUUGUGAUUUUUUCAUAUUUAAAAGGAAAUUAUAAUUGCAAUAGAUUGUUUUCUUAGUAAUUUUAUUAUAAUUACUUUUAUUGCAAUAUUGUUUUUAAUUUUGCGAUCCCAAAAAAUUGCAUCCGAAAAAUAUCAAAGAAAAGUAAAGGGUAUAAAAAUCAUAACAUAAUUCAAAGUGAAGGGGGGCCAAUUGUAAUUAAUCAUAAACGAAAUAAAUAAGAAGUACAGAAUGGCUCAGGUUAAUUGCCUUAUUUUACCAGCAACCCCACACGGCACAACAAAUCCACACGGCGUGCACCACAGAGAGAGAGAGAGGGAGAGAGUUGAGAGACGCUGAAGAGAGAGAGAGCAAAUCGACGAAGCCUCGUAGGGUCAACCGACGACGGUAGCCUCAAGGAGCCUCGUUAGAGAGAGUAGUACCACAUUAGAGAGGGACCAAAUCAAGUAUCAGAGGAGUCUAAUCGAAGCAAAUCGAAGCAAUCGGACAUGUUCAAAAUCAGAACUCCGACGAAGGGCGCAACAGAGAGAGAAGCUUGUCGGAGUCUAGGCAAGGGUCGGCGAAGCUCGUCGGAGCCGGCAAGGGUCGGCGAAGCUUCGUCGACAGGCGAGGCGAGAGAUCUAUCUCGUUGGAGCCUCGUUAACGGGUCAUAUGUUAUUGGCCAGCAGUGGCUAGGGACUAUAUUCCUUCCCACCGCGACGGCGGUGGCGACGACUCGAUCGACGGCCGGACGACAACAACAACUCUAGCCGUAUCCCGGAUUCAAAUUGCCGCAACCCGACACAAAUCCGCACCAGUGUCGGAUCGUGUCGACAUGGGUACUCCAUCAAUUUCAAGCGAGGCCAGGUAACACAGGGUAUAAUGAGCAGUUAGGUACGCAUAGUCAAACCAACUGCAUGCUAUAUCAUGGCCCCUAAUGGUGUGAAUAAAUCAUCCAAAAACAAACAAAUUACCUAACUUACAGAAGAUGUUAGUGAUCUUAAAGACUUCUCCCACCUUUUUGCAUUAAUUAUCCUCAAUUUUACUACGUUACAAGCAUUUUAUGAGAAAAAAUGGCUUUCUAUUAUAAACAAUGCUCAAUUGGAUAUUUACUAAUUAGAUCUCAAAAAAGGCUUUUGCCACCAACUAAAUCAUGUUCUGUCAACAAUGACUACAUGUCAUGCAGUUAAUACCUUAUAGAUAAUCAUAUAAUUUACCUAAAAGUGUUUUCCUUCAUUCCAGGAGCCUUUCUUCUCAGUCAAACAUCUUUUAUGACAUCAGCAUGCGCACAAAUACACCAUAUACGUCAAUAGAUGUGUGAAAAAACAACAUUUCCCAUAUCCCAGAUGUGCUAAAGAAGACCAAUUUUACUCUAUAUAUCCAAUUUACUAAGAUGGCUAUCUAUUAUAUCACACCCACCAUUGUAGCAAAGUUCAACUUCAACAUCUUCAUCUCAAGAGUAUUAAACUCAAUAUGUAUGCAAACAAGGAGUAUCAUAGACAUUGACCAACCACAUAAAGCCUAAGUGCAUAUAUCAUUCUAAUCAAAAUUCAUUAAAUUGAACAGAAGGAUAUCAUUUCUCACCGAAGACUCCAAAAAUACCGUUAAUCCUGUUUCUUCAUUAAUUAAAUCCAAAAAGAAAGAAACAACAACAGCAGCAAGCAAUCAUUGAAUUGCUUCAAAAUCAGUUUCCAACAGGGAGUGCCAGCAUUGAGCAAAUUGCAGGUCCAUACAGAAAAUUAAACAAUUACUAAAUUGAUGAAUGAAUAAGCAAGUUAAGAAUCCAUCCCAAAAGCUAUCACAAAACCAAUAAUAGGGCAGCAGAUAAUAAUUUUUUUUUAUAUAAUUAAUAAAGACUUGAACUCCAGUUUCUUUACUAAGGAAAUUGGACAAAGGAGCUUGCAUUCACAUAUAAAAGUACUAACAAAUGGUGGCCUGAACUGCCAAGAGCCAACUGUAAAGGGGGAAAUUCCUAAAAUUCAAGUAGGGAGAGAAUAUGCCAGGCACGUACUUCCAUCCUGUUGCUAAUUCUUAUGCAAAAGAAGCAUGCCAACCAAAACUUGAAACAAGAAGCCAAAUAUAUGACAGUGCACUCGUGGAGUUUAAUAACUCAGACUAAACUAUAUUUUACUAAUUCUAUUAGAUUAAUUCUGUUAGAUCGAUCUCUGAGCAAAUGUUAGAUUUAUUUUUUAGUUAAGUAAAUGGGGAGGCGGGCAAAUAGCAUGGGGAGAGGGGAACCUUGACCUACUCGAACCCCAACCCUUUCCUCCCGUGGAGGAACAAAGAUUCUAAAAACUAAGCUGCGUCCAAUGGUUAUAAGUUUAGAAAUUUGGAACAUACCCUAUUUCUCGGCCACAAAGUUCCGCAACCUACAAAAAACCGAAACAAACAGAGAUGUUGCAAUGCAACACAAACAAAUCAAUGUAACAUAAAUUUGCCCAAUUGAAACCAUGCAUGUAAAUAAUAAAGAUAUCAUGCUUCUCAUUUUUAUUCAUUAAAUAAAUUCAAGAAACAAACAAUGAGUAACUGGAAAUCAGCUAGGCCAUUUGUUGACUACACGCCAAUGAAGUAAAAAACAAAUGUUUAGAGCAAUGAAUUUCAUGUAAUUCAAUAGGAUAACACCUCUUAGGCCAUCUCCAAUUAUUGGAGGUCGUCUUUUGUCAUUUGUCCAUCCAAUUUAAAUUUGAUGAAAGAACUGGUGAAGGUUGGAGAUGUCCUUAUGCAUGCCAAUAAUUUCCAGUAAUAGAAGACCUGCUACGGAUCAGGUCUUUUCAUUUUUGUGUUAUAGUUUCAAAACAGAAACCUCUGGUCAUGGUGCAUAUUUAAUGUAAAUUAAUAAAGAACACUAGACAUUGUUUUUUUGGGCAAGUAAGAAUACUAGAUACUAACAAAGAAAAUUCAGGAAAAACGGAAGGCAAAGCUUCAAGGCAUAGAACAACCACUUAGCAAGAUUCAAAUAUUAAAAUUCUUUACGUGAUCUUUCCAAUCAUCCAAAAAAAGAGGAUAAAACGAAAACAAAUAAGGUUUAAGAGUUCUUCGUGUAAGAUCUCUGAGCACAUCUCCAUUCCUUCAUCAUCAAAUUUAAACUUGGUGAAAGAAAGGGCAAAAAGGGAACGUCAAUCCUUUUAUCAAACUUGCAUCAAAUCAAGAAAUAACCAAAUCGUUCGUCAAAUGAAGUAUGAAUGACAUCUUUCAUCAAAUCCACUUUUCAAAUUUCAAUGAACUUCUAAAAAGAUAUGGAUUGGAUUUGAAUGAGUUUUUCAUUCAUCAAAAAAGGCAAAAAGAGGGGUUGGGAAUUCUGUGUAAAGACUUGGCGAAGAGGGUGCAUCAUCAUACCAAAACAAGCUUUUAACUAAAAAUUGACUCUGACAUUGAUGGAAAAAGAAAAGGGUAAGGAUCGAAGAUGGCCUAAAGAACACUUGCACCAGCUGCAAAACUUCAAGGCCCUACAACAGUCCAAAAGCAAACCCCAAUCCUUUCACUAAACUUGUAUCAAAUCAAGCCAAACCAAAAUCCUCCAUCAAAUCAUGUACGAUUAAAAUCUUUCACCAAAUCAACUUUUUACUUGAAUUUUGAUGAAACUUAAAAAAGAGCAAGAAUUGGAGUGAGUUUUCUUUCAUCGAAAAAGGUAAAAAGAGGGGUUGAAAUUAUGUGAGAAGAUUUGAUGAAGAGAGAGUAAUGCUUGGAAUGCAUCACACCAAACCAACUUUUAAACAAAAUUUGACUGGACGUGAAGGGAAAAAAAAGGGAGUAACGGGAUUGAAAAUGGCCAUAAGAAAUUCGUUGCUAAAGAAAAUCAGGGUUAACGAAAGAUAAAGCUUCACGACCUAGAACGGCCACUUCAACUCCACUACGUAAGCAGGAUUCAUAUAUUCCAAUCUUUCAAUGAUCUUUCCAAUCAACCAACCAGAGGCAAAAGAAAGAAAGUUUAAGAUGAAUCCAUUCUUUCAUCAUAUCCACUUUAUACUCAAAUUUUGAUGAAAUUUGAAUAAGACUAAAGAUUUGAAUGGGUUUUUGUUUCGUCGGAGAUGGUAAACAGAGGUCUAAGUACCCAUAUUUUGGGAAUUAUGUGAGAAGAUUCGAUGAAAAAAAAAAUACAAAUAAGGAUUUGAAUUUAUUAAAACAAAUCAAAUCCAACUCGAAUUUGAUGGAAAAAGAACGGAGUGAGGAUUGAAUUGAAGAACGGCCACUUUGACGCACUACGAUCUUUCCAAUCAACCAAACAGAGGCAAGAAAUAAAAUCACUGAAACAGACUUUGCGUAAGCGUCCUCCAUUGAAGAGGCAAAUCGAGCAAGCUCGAGCGUUUCUGUUACUUCCAAUCGUUCCUUCAUCUCCAUUGAUGUUUGGUUCGUGAAAUAUUUAUAUGAGAACCUGGUGUCGGUGUUUUUCUCAGUAGAACUAGAGAGACGUUACAAUUAAAGUGAAGUCACGAUCGAAGACUAGGGUUUGAGGCUUAUAUUUUUUUGGAAAAUUUUCAUAUCAGUGUUAAGACUUCAUUUACUAUUAAUUACCUAAUCUUACCGAAAAUAAUAUAUCGGGGGUAGUGAGUUGUAAUAAACAUUACCUCCCUUGUCGGCAACGAUCACCGUCAGUCGCCAGUCGCCGAUGUCCUACACCAAUAAUCAUUGGAUUUAAAUCCUAAAAACCAAAAACCCACAAAUCUUCAAAUUAGUUUCAUAUAUAGAUAGAUAGAUAGAUAGAUAGAUAGAUAGAUAGAUAGAUAGAUAUCACACAAGAAUCAGAUCACUUUCAUCCUAUAUGUGAAUCAAUAAAAUCAAAACCCACAAAUCUUCAAAUCGAGGAAUCUAUAAAUCUUCAAAUCAAUAAACCCAAGACCCAUAAAAUCUUCAAAUCAAAACAACAAAAACCCACAAAUUCUUCAAAUCACGAAAACCAAAACCCACGUAACUUCAAAUCAAGAAAACCCAAAACCACAUAUCUUCAAAUCAAAGUAAACCCAAAACCACAAAUCUUCAAAUCAAUAAAACCAACAUCCGUAAAUCUUCAAAUCAACAAACCCCUUACCCGAAAACGCCGGUGGUCUCUCUCUUCAUCGCGCGUCUUCACCCCCUCUCUGACUCUCUCUCUCUCCGUGUGUGGUGGCUUAACAGCUGAAGGCUCACCCAGGUUUUGUACGGUUAUUUGGGGGAUAUGGGAAAUUUUGGAGUUAUUAUUUGCUUAUGUCAGAACAGAAAGUUUUUUUGUGAAAUUUUGGUGUAUUAAAUUCGAACAUUAAGGAGGUCAGUAUAAUUUUUCCAAAAAAAUAAACAAAUGCCUAGUUUGGGUUGAC